GAUGAACGCUAGCUACAGGCUUAACACAUGCAAGUCGAACGAUUGAAGCUGGAGCUUGCUCCGGCCGAUUUAGUGGCGGACGGGUGAGUAACGCGUGGGUAACCUGCCUCAUACAGGGGAAUAGCAGUUGGAAACGACUGGUAAAAACCGCAUAAGCGCACAGUGUCGCAUGACACAGUGUGAAAACACUCCGGUGGUAUGAGAUGGACCCGCGUCUGAUUAGCUAGUUGGUGAGGUAACGGCCCACCAAGGCGACGAUCAGUAGCCGGCCUGAGAGGGUGAACGGCCACAUUGGGACUGAGACACGGCCCAAACUCCUACGGGAGGCAGCAGUGGGGAAUAUUGCACAAUGGGGGAAACCCUGAUGCAGCGACGCCGCGUGAGUGAUGAAGUAUUUCGGUAUGUAAAGCUCUAUCAGCAGGGAAGAUAAUGACGGUACCUGACUAGAAGCACCGGGCUAAAUACGUGCCAGCAGCCGU
RNAcentral lists this ribosomal RNA (479 nucleotides) under uncultured bacterium. Its description in RNAcentral is "bacterial SSU rRNA". It matches the Rfam family "Bacterial small subunit ribosomal RNA", at positions 28 to 518 of the family's 1533-position model. The record is from RNAcentral.